GCUGUCCAUCAUGUACAGGCUGAGCUCGGAUUGGUGGGGGUGGGCGGUUCCGCAGGUAUCUCACGCUCAUAGAAGAGCAGGGCAGAGAGUAGGUGAUCAAUCUUCAUCAGUCUACUUUAGCAAUCACUUUAACCACUACGCAAGACAGCCACCAAACAAGAAUUGUAAACGGUGGAUAUUUUGAGUGAAGAUACUGAGUUUAUUGCGACUGGAUCUGUUAAGAACAUUGAAGAAAAGUUUACUUGAAGAAACUCCCUGACGGAAUUUUAAUACCGAAGGAAAAUUGGAAGAAAUUGGGGUGGGGGGGGGGGGGGGGGGACGACG
This is a long non-coding RNA of Polyodon spathula (Mississippi paddlefish), 324 nucleotides long. RefSeq lists it as uncharacterized. The transcript is spliced from 3 exons. Lineage: Eukaryota; Metazoa; Chordata; Actinopteri; Acipenseriformes; Polyodontidae. The record is from RefSeq and is a predicted model, not a curated record.